Molecule: ribosomal RNA, 735 nt
Filed under: Blastocystis sp. subtype 8
Lineage: Eukaryota; Bigyra; Opalinata; Blastocystidae
Description: SSU rRNA
Rfam family: Eukaryotic small subunit ribosomal RNA
Source: RNAcentral
CGUGAAUGGCUCCUUAUAUCAGUUAUAGUUUAUUUGAUGCAAUCUACUACUUGGAUAACCGUAGUAAUUCUAGAGCUAAUACAUGGUAAAGUCCUCAACUUGUGAAGAGGUGUAUUUAUUAGAAUGAAAACCAGUAGACUUAGUCUAUUCGUGAGUAAUAAUAACUUAUCAUAUCGCAUGCUUAGGUAGCGAUAUGUCUUUCAAGUUUCUGCCCUAUCAGCUUUCGAUGGUAGUGUAUUGGACUACCAUGGCAGUAACGGGUAACGAAGAAUUUGGAUUCGAUUUCGGAGAGGGAGCCUGAGAGAUGGCUACCACAUCCAAGGCGGGCAGCAGGCGCGUAAAUUACCCAAUCCUGACACAGGGAGGUAGUGACAAUAAAUCACAAUGCGGAACUAUUAGUUUUGCAAUUGGAUUGAGAACAACGUACAAACCUUAUCGAUAAACAAUUGGAGGGCAAGUCUGGUGCCAGCAGCCGCGGUAAUUCCAGCUCCAAUAGCGUAUAUUAACGUUGUUGCAGUUAAAAAGCUCGUAGUUGAAGUGAAGUGAACAAAGAAGAGAAGAAUCUUCGGAUUCGGAUCUAAUGCGUUGACUCUUUCCAAAGUCAAUGUAUGGGUAUUCAUUUAUCUAUAUAUUGUGUUUGGUCGUUUACUGUGAGAAAAUUAGAGUGUUCAAAGCAGACGUUUGUUUGAAUACAUUAGCAUGGAAUAAUCAUAUAAGGCUUUUCAUGUGUAUUAG